Molecule: small nuclear RNA, 326 nt
Filed under: Aotus nancymaae (Ma's night monkey)
Lineage: Eukaryota; Metazoa; Chordata; Mammalia; Primates; Aotidae
Description: 7SK RNA (ENSANAG00000007990.1)
Rfam family: 7SK RNA
About the family: 7SK was discovered as an abundant small nuclear RNA in the mid-70s but a possible function has only recently been suggested. Two independent studies have found that 7SK RNA binds the CDK9/cyclin T complex (known as elongation factor P-TEFb).
Source: RNAcentral
AGAUGUGAGGGAAAUCUGGCUGUGACAUCUGUCACCCCACUGAUUGCCAAGAUUGAUUCUGCUGAUCUGGCUGGCUGGGGCUGGGGUGCCUUCCUCCUUUACCACUCUAUGUGUGUUCUUCCCGAAGUUGUGCACUAGGUUGAAGAGGAUGACCAUCCCCAAUAGAGGAGGGCCCGUCUUCAGUCAUGGGUAUAUGAGUAGCUGCAUUCCACUGCUGGAAAUUCCAAAUAGAGUCUCAAAAUAUUACUGCUCAUUGAAAAUGCAUCUGGUCACCCAAGAGCUCUGAUGGAGAUGUAGAAGAGUAAUGUUGUUGCUAUGCCUGCUAA